This 253-nucleotide ribosomal RNA is filed under the name uncultured bacterium. RNAcentral's name for it is "partial 16S ribosomal RNA". It matches the Rfam family "Bacterial small subunit ribosomal RNA", at positions 524 to 776 of the family's 1533-position model. The record is from RNAcentral.
UAGGGAGGGUGCGAGCGUUAAUCGGAAUUACUGGGCGUAAAGGGCGCGUAGGCGGUGGGUUACGUCUGCCGUGAAAUCCCCGGGCUCAACCUGGGAAUGGCGGUGGAAACGGGCUGACUGGAGUAUGGGAGAGGGUGAUGGAAUUCCAGGUGUAGCGGUGAAAUGCGUAGAGAUCUGGAGGAACACCAGUGGCGAAGGCGGUCACCUGGCCCAAUACGGACGCUGAGGCGCGACAGCGUGGGGAGCAAACAGG